UACGUAGGAGGCGAGCGUUGUCCGGAGUUACUGGGCGUAAAGGGUGCGCAGGCGGUGGCCCGCGUGGGCGGUGAAAGCUCCUGGCUCAACUGGGAGAGGGCCGUCCAGACGGGGUCACUUGAGGGGCGGAGAGGGGCGUGGAAUUCCGGGUGGAGCGGUGAAAUGCGUAGAGAUGUGGAGGAACACCGAUGGCGAAGGCAGCCUUCUGGGCCAACACUGACGCUCAUGCACGAAAGCGUGGGGAGCAAACAGG
Molecule: ribosomal RNA, 253 nt
Filed under: uncultured bacterium
Lineage: Bacteria
Description: partial 16S ribosomal RNA
Rfam family: Bacterial small subunit ribosomal RNA
Source: RNAcentral